UACGUAGGGUGCAAGCGUUAAUCGGAAUUACUGGGCGUAAAGCGUGCGCAGGCGGUUAUGCAAGACAGAGGUGAAAUCCCCGGGCUCAACCUGGGAACUGCCUUUGUGACUGCAUAGCUAGAGUACGGUAGAGGGGGAUGGAAUUCCGCGUGUAGCAGUGAAAUGCGCAGGUAUCAGGAGGAACACCGAAGGCGAAGGCAGUGUCCUGGGGAGUACCUGACGCUCAGGUGCGAAAGCCAGGGGAGCGAACGGG
Molecule: ribosomal RNA, 253 nt
Filed under: uncultured bacterium
Lineage: Bacteria
Description: partial 16S ribosomal RNA
Rfam family: Bacterial small subunit ribosomal RNA
Source: RNAcentral